RNAcentral lists this ribosomal RNA (451 nucleotides) under uncultured bacterium. RNAcentral describes it as "SSU rRNA". It matches the Rfam family "Bacterial small subunit ribosomal RNA", at positions 26 to 518 of the family's 1533-position model. The record is from RNAcentral.
AGAACGAACGCUGGCGGCAUGCCUAACACAUGCAAGUCGAACGCUCUUGGUUUCGGCCAAGGGAGUGGCGCACGGGUGAGUAACGCGUGGGAACCUGCCCUGGAGUGGGGGAUAACCGAGGGAAACCUCGGCUAAUACCGCAUACGACCUGAGGGUGAAAGAUUUAUCGCUCUAGGAGGGGCCCGCGUCGGAUUAGCUAGUUGGUGAGGUAACGGCCCACCAAGGCUAUGAUCCGUAGCUGGUCUGAGAGGAUGAUCAGCCACACUGGGACUGAGACACGGCCCAGACUCCUACGGGAGGCAGCAGUGGGGAAUAUUGGACAAUGGGCGCAAGCCUGAUCCAGCAAUGCCGCGUGAGUGAUGAAGGCCUUAGGGUUGUAAAGCUCUUUCACACGCGACGAUGACGACGGUAGCGUGAGAAGAAGCCCGGCUAACUUCGUGCCAGCAGCCGC